This 811-nucleotide ribosomal RNA is filed under the name uncultured bacterium. RNAcentral's name for it is "bacterial SSU rRNA". It matches the Rfam family "Bacterial small subunit ribosomal RNA", at positions 54 to 878 of the family's 1533-position model. The record is from RNAcentral.
CAUGCAAGUCGAACGAGAGAGAAGGAGCUUGCUUCUUCGAUCGAGUGGCGAACGGGUGAGUAACGCGUGAGGAACCUGCCUCAAAGAGGGGGACAACAGUUGGAAACGACUGCUAAUACCGCAUAAGCCCACGGGUCGGCAUCGACCUGAGGGAAAAGGAGUGAUCCGCUUUGAGAUGGCCUCGCGUCCGAUUAGCUAGUUGGUGAGGUAACGGCCCACCAAGGCGACGAUCGGUAGCCGGACUGAGAGGUUGAACGGCCACAUUGGGACUGAGACACGGCCCAGACUCCUACGGGAGGCAGCAGUGGGGAAUAUUGCACAAUGGGGGAAACCCUGAUGCAGCGACGCCGCGUGGAGGAAGAAGGUCUUCGGAUUGUAAACUCCUGUUGUUGAGGAAGAUAAUGACGGUACUCAACAAGGAAGUGACGGCUAACUACGUGCCAGCAGCCGCGGUAAAACGUAGGUCACAAGCGUUGUCCGGAAUUACUGGGUGUAAAGGGAGCGCAGGCGGGAAGACAAGUUGGAAGUGAAAUCUAUGGGCUCAACCCAUAAACUGCUUUCAAAACUGUUUUUCUUGAGUAGUGCAGAGGUAGGCGGAAUUCCCGGUGUAGCGGUGGAAUGCGUAGAUAUCGGGAGGAACACCAGUGGCGAAGGCGGCCUACUGGGCACCAACUGACGCUGAGGCUCGAAAGUGUGGGUAGCAAACAGGAUUAGAUACCCUGGUAGUCCACACCGUAAACGAUGAUUACUAGGUGUUGGAGGAUUGACCCCUUCAGUGCCGCAGUUAACACAAUAAGUAAUCCACCUGGGG